This 3193-nucleotide unclassified non-coding RNA is filed under the name Hevea brasiliensis (rubber tree). Lineage: Eukaryota; Viridiplantae; Streptophyta; Magnoliopsida; Malpighiales; Euphorbiaceae. The record is from RNAcentral.
UGCAUUUCCCAUUUCAGAGAAACAAAUGCAAUAAGUUGCCCUGCCAUUUUGCCAUUUUGCGCGUACAAUCCAUAUGAAGCGCCAAUUGCAUGAGGGCAACAAAAAUAUAGGUAAAAUAUCAAAUAUUUACUAAAUUCCAGAAUCUCUCAUUAUUUUGAAAUGAGUUUAGCAUGCACAUUUUGUCAUUGUUUUUACAAAACAUCUCCAUUACUUCCACUGCGUAAUGGAUUCUUUCAUUCUCUUCGGCCCAUCUCCAUCAGACCUGCAUUCACAAGACAUACAUAUUUCUCAACUUUCUAAACUUAUCGCAUUUGGUGCAAAUAUUGUACACUAAUUUUAAAGGGUCCCUUGAUGCAUAUGCCAAGCCAAGAAAUAAACUAAUUUCAUUUUCUGGGCAACUAAAUCAACUAUCAUGAUUAAACAUUCACAAAGAAUCAAACAUUAGUUGUGGAUGACGAGUUGUUAAUUCUAGUUCAUAAGACGAGUGUUUGAUAAUCUUCUUUUCCAUAUCAACAAGAAAUUCAUCAGGCCAAAACGUGCUACUCCGUUGAACUAAGCGUACAAUUGCACCUAAAAGCUCCAAUAUUUCUGAGCAUGGACGAUAAGCAAAAUAACCAAUAUUCAUUCCAUAAUCUGUAUCCAGAUUAAAAAGGAAAUGCCAUUCAGGUAAAACUUAUUACGCCCACAGGACUUUCUAUUAUAGUGAAAGCAUAUUUACAAGCCAAACUCUCAGUUUCCUCCUCAACAUGUAUGGAGAUCAAAUAUCAUCUUGUUUCUUGCUUCUUUUUACCUAAGAAAGAAUUCAAGAGCUAACUGUGAGCCAUGCUCCUUGGUGGGAAAAACACUUCUAAGUUUUAAAAAGUCCAAAAUUUUUAACAACCCACAAAUUCUUUCACUACCUAUUUGGCCAAUGACAUUUCCAAGCAUCACACCAUAAAAACAUUGAGGUUUGAAUUGUCUCACUACUAAAAGUGCUGUCUGACAAUAUGUCAUGACAUAUGAUUCAAACUCAAAACUCAAAAGCAUUUUUUAUAAUCCUAGCAACUUACAAACAACUUCCUUCAACAUAUCAGUUGCCACCCUAUGAAGCUCCAUUAAUAAAUAAUCCGUAUCUUUAUAUUCUGGUUGCUAAAAAUAAUUUGACAAAGACAUAAAUGAAUAUCAUGCACUCAGAAGCUUCUCUAUAGAAAUCCAAAAUUCUGCAUCAUCACCUCCAAUUUGGCAAUAUUAUAGGAAAAAUAAAUAAAAGAAAGAAUAAAACCAAACACAAUAAUACAAAGGACAGAAAGGUAAAGAAGAUAGCUAAAACAAUGUAAUUCCAUUGUCAACGCUCAUUCCCACAAAUAAAAGAAGUUGCACCAAUUUUUAUCCUUCACAUCAUACAUUAUGUGCAUACAUACGUCCAUCUCUCUGAAAUUAAAUUCCUAAACAUCAUUAUGGAAUGAAUUUGUUAAAGUUGUACUUCGAUGAUUCUCAAGCCAUAUUAAUAAUAACCAUGUAACAUGACCUUAACUAAUAGCAUAAAGAUAUGAUUAAAUAGUAUGGUAGAUUAGUAUUAUAAUGUUGUUGCCAUAGCUACUGUAGAAAAACGUGCAGGGACCACAGUAAAAGAAAAGCAAAUGCAACUUCAGAAAAGUAACAAGUGGAAAUAGCUUACAAACUGAUGAAAACUCAAAAUGACAUAGAAGAAAAAUGUAAUAUAGCACAGUUUUCUUUGCAAUUCUUAGAGAAGAUCCCUGUAAUUCUUGAAACUUGGAAGAACUAAUAUCUAUGAAGAAUAUUAUCACAAAAACUCCACGCAGGCUUGACAUAUAGUGUAACAGGAAUUACAACAUUAUUUCAAAUAACUGCAGAAACUUCCAAAACUUGUAGCCACCUUAAUUUACUUCUCAAUAUCAUAAUCAUACUACAUAAUCACAUAUCCUCACUACAUGCAAAAUCUUUCAGCUUCACAAUAGUCUGGCUAAUCAAUCAUAUCAUUGCUCCACUGAGUUGCUCGAGCUUCGAUCUCUGGCACCCUCACCAGCAUCAGCAACCUCUUCUUUCUUCACCCAAACCAUUCCACUAUGUCUCCCCUUCUGCUCUGCAGACUGAUUAAACCUCCUAAAACUUCCUCUGUGCUGCCCAUAACGGACACUCAGACCACCAUUAUAACCUCUAUACUCAUAAUACCUGCGAUUAAGAGUCCUAUUAUCAAUCCUAUUAUAACCUCUAUGAUCGCCAUAUCUGCGAUUAACAACCCUAUUUUGCGUAUCCGAUCUGUUACUCUCAUUUCUUAUAGAAAAAUCCUCAAGCUUUCGCUCAAUCUUCAGAGUACCCUCACUCUUCUCCGCCGCAUUCUCAACUUCCUUCACAUUUUUCAAUGUUCCACCACUCUUCUCCGCCUCUUUCUCAACUUCCUCCACAUUUUUCGCUAUUCCACCACUCUUCUCCGCCUCAUUCUCAACUUCCUCCACAAUUUUCACUAUUCGACCACUCUUCUUAACCGCACUAGUAAAUUUAGGCCUAUAAUCCAACCUCAUAUCCCUCGUUUUCUCAGGCCUCGUAACCGGGGUAUUCUCCUCGCUCUUAACAGGCGGCGCGCGUGGCUCGCGUACCUUUGGUUCUUCCUCUUCUUGUGCCCUAGCUUCUCCAUCAUCGAUCAGCUUCUCCUUCUUCUUUUCCUUCCCCUUCCUCUUCCAAUUCUUCUUUUUCUUAUUUCCCAAAUCAUUGUUCUUCGUCUCCUUCACAGUACUCUCACUCUCAUUUCCUUCAACAACAGCAGAAACCGCUGGAGCGUGGUUUUCCUCUGGACAACCACCGAAACCAGUUUCCGUCAAAUUGCGAUUUCUGCGCUCAUUACGGCGGUUGCGAUUGCGAUUGCUUCGACUCGAUCGGGCGUCUUUGAUUAGGUGAACUUGGGGGUUUGGGUCUUUUUCUUCAUUUUGCUGCUCCUCUUCCUGGUUUUGUUCUUCCUCUUUCUCCUUGAGCUUACGCUGCUGCUCUUUAAUCCAGCGUUCUUGAAGUUGUUGGAGAGUGACGUAAUUAGAUGGAAUAUUUGAGGGCCUUGUCUUGUCCUCCAUUGAUGAAGCGCAUAGAGAGAGUUUGGAGGAGGAGACUGAAAUCACAGGUGCUAUUUUGGGGGCACAAGCAAAGUCACGACUCACGGGUCCACAAUUUCCUUUCCACGGAAGGCGUUGGCGUCCUAGUUUAA